ACCUCCGUGGUGUAACGGUAGCACACUCGGCGCCUAUUCUAGAGGUCCAGGUUCGAGUCCCGGCGAGGGCA
This 71-nucleotide transfer RNA is filed under the name Stegodyphus mimosarum. It matches the Rfam family "tRNA". From Rfam's summary of the family: Transfer RNA (tRNA) molecules are approximately 80 nucleotides in length. Their secondary structure includes four short double-helical elements and three loops (D, anti-codon, and T loops). Lineage: Eukaryota; Metazoa; Arthropoda; Arachnida; Araneae; Eresidae. The record is from Rfam by way of RNAcentral.